GAGUUUGAUCUUGGCUCAGGAUGAACGCUGGCGGCGUGCUUAACACAUGCAAGUCGAACGAAGAGAGAUUAGCUUGCUAAUUGAACUUAGUGGCGGACGGGUGAGUAACGUGUGGGCAACCUACCUUAUACAGGGGAAUAAUCACUGGAAACGGUGACUAAUACCGCAUAAUAUUGCGAUAAGGCAUCUUAUUGCAAAGAAGGAGCAAAUCCGGUAAAAGAUGGGCCCGCAUCUGAUUAGCUAGUUGGUGAGAUAACAGCCCACCAAGGCAACGAUCAGUAGCCGACCUGAGAGGGUGAUCGGCCACAUUGGGACUGA
This 318-nucleotide ribosomal RNA is filed under the name uncultured bacterium. RNAcentral describes it as "bacterial SSU rRNA". It matches the Rfam family "Bacterial small subunit ribosomal RNA", at positions 9 to 322 of the family's 1533-position model. The record is from RNAcentral.